CAAUAGCGUAUAUUUAAGUUGCUGCAGUUAAAAAGCUCGUAGUUGGAUUUCGGGUGGGAAUGGCCGGUCCGCCGUUUCGGUGUGCACUUGCUACGCCCACCUUGCUGCCGGGGACGUGCUCUUGAGUUCACGCUCGGGACACGGAGUCGGCGAGGUUACUUUGAGUAAAUUAGAGUGUUCAAAGCAGGCCUACGCUCUGAAUACAUUAGCAUGGAAUAACACGAUAGGACUCUGGCCUAUCUUGUUGGUCUGUAGGACCGGAGUAAUGAUUAAGAGGGACAGUCGGGGGCAUUCGUAUUUCAUUGUCAGAGGUGAAAUUCUUGGAUUUAUGAAAGACGAACUACUGCGAAAGCAUUUACCAAGGAUGUUUUCAUUAA
Molecule: ribosomal RNA, 377 nt
Filed under: uncultured eukaryote
Lineage: Eukaryota
Description: partial 18S ribosomal RNA
Rfam family: Eukaryotic small subunit ribosomal RNA
Source: RNAcentral